This 455-nucleotide ribosomal RNA is filed under the name Pigmentiphaga sp. RNAcentral describes it as "bacterial SSU rRNA". Lineage: Bacteria; Pseudomonadati; Pseudomonadota; Betaproteobacteria; Burkholderiales; Alcaligenaceae. The record is from RNAcentral.
GAUUGAACGCUAGCGGAAUGCCUUACACAUGCAAGUCGAACGGCAGCACGGRCUUCGGUCUGGUGGCGAGUGGCGAACGGGUGAGUAAUGUAUCGGAACGUACCCAGUAGCGGGGGAUAACUACUCGAAAGAGUAGCUAAUACCGCAUACGCCCUACGGGGGAAAGCGGGGGAUCUUCGGACCUCGCACUAUUGGAGCGGCUGAUAUCGGAUUAGCUAGUUGGUGAGGUAAAGGCUCACCAAGGCGACGAUCCGUAGCUGGUUUGAGAGGACGACCAGCCACACUGGAACUGAGACACGGUCCAGACUCCUACGGGAGGCAGCAGUGGGGAAUUUUGGACAAUGGGGGAAACCCUGAUCCAGCCAUUCCGCGUGUGUGAAGAAGGCCUUCGGGUUGUAAAGCACUUUUGGCGGGAAAGAAACGGCGUCGACUAAUACUCGGCGUAACUGACGGUA